AGAUUAAGCCAUGCAUGUCUAAGUGCAAGCCGUCCAUUAUAUACGGUGAAACCGCGAAAGGCUCAUUAAAUCAGUUAUGGUUCCUUAGAUAGUACCCACAUUUACUUGGAUAACUGUGGUAAUUCUAGAGCUAAUACAUGCCGACAGAGUUCCGACCAGCGCUGCUGCGACAACGUGUUCGCACGCUUCGUCGCCGGUGUUCGGAAGGAACGCUUUUAUUAGAUCAAAACCGGCCGGGCAGUUGUGUGUCGUGCGCCCUUGUGGUCACGGCCGGCUGUAAGUGGCCCGCGCAAUGACUUGGUGACUCUGAAUAACUUCGAGCUGAUCGCACGGUCCUGGUACCGGCGACGUAUCUUUCAAAUGUCUGCCUUAUCAACUGUCGAUGGUAAGUUCGACGCUUACCAUGGUGUUAACGGGUAACGGGGAAUCAGGGUUCGAUUCCGGAGAGGGAGCCUGAGAAACGGCUACCACAUCUAAGGAAGGCAGCAGGCGCGUAAAUUACCCACUCUUCGUUCGAGGAGGUAGUGACGAAAAAUAACGAUACGGGACUCAUCCGAGGCCCCGUAAUCGGAAUGAGUACACUUUAAAACCUUGGUCACACGAGGAUCAAU
This 611-nucleotide ribosomal RNA is filed under the name Cylindrococcus spiniferus. RNAcentral's name for it is "bacterial SSU rRNA". It matches the Rfam family "Eukaryotic small subunit ribosomal RNA", at positions 41 to 548 of the family's 1831-position model. Lineage: Eukaryota; Metazoa; Arthropoda; Insecta; Hemiptera; Eriococcidae. The record is from RNAcentral.